Long non-coding RNA from Hyla sarda, 278 nucleotides. RefSeq lists it as uncharacterized. NCBI's taxonomy places the organism in Eukaryota, Metazoa, Chordata, Amphibia, Anura, Hylidae. The transcript is spliced from 3 exons. The record is from RefSeq and is a predicted model, not a curated record.
CUAUGGUGUCCUAUGGUAGCCUGAUGCCAUAUAUCUGCCUUCUGCUUGCACUCACUAACUGGAAGAAACCCAUCAGAAACCUUUAAGGAGACAAGCUGAAGCUGCAUCUCAUAUGAUAGCCUAUAUUGUAAGAACCAUGACAAUGAUAAUAAAGAAUCCAAACAGGAUAAAAAUCAGGAGCAUCAUAUUGAUGUCUUCAUUAUCUGGAUGAGUUACAUUUCAAAAUUCUAGAAAGAGUUUUCUAUCAAUAAGGCCCUUUACAAUUUCCCAAAAUGUUG